This 2398-nucleotide long non-coding RNA is filed under the name Homo sapiens (human). RNAcentral describes it as "HSALNT0295363". The record is from RNAcentral. Lineage: Eukaryota; Metazoa; Chordata; Mammalia; Primates; Hominidae.
CGGGGAACUCUGGGAGACCUGUGUAGAAAGCAUGCUUCAGGGUUAAACCGCCUCAUGGUUGAGCAAGCUGGGAUAUUUAUCUACUAACUCUCAUCAGUCAUUGGUUAAGGGUCUCUCCCAGGGAAAAGGGGGUUAAUUCCCCAGCACUUCCUGAGCAAACUUUCAGUAGCUAGAAAAAGCCCUCAGGCAAACAGACAUAUGUGCUGGCAGUUUUGAAGGCCUGGAUGUUAAGUGCCAAGAGAAUUUGGGCAGGGCACUGAUGGCAAAUGUUAUAUCUUCCCUGCACUCUCUCUUAGGAAACUACUGAAGAAUGUGCUCCACCAAAACAGUGUUGUGAGUCAAGAAAGAGGAAGAGGCGGAAUUCAGGAACCAGAGCACUCAACACAGAGUCAGAAGAAAAGCUAUGAGCAACUGGGAAAUCAAAACUGAAAUUCCUUUGAAAGAGCCAUUGAUGCCAAACUGACCUGAAAUCUGGGGCUACCCUAAGAGGGCUUUGGCCUAAAUAAAUGGUCCAGGAGUGUAAUUUCCAUGAGGACAGGAACCAUGUCAGUUUUGUUUAACACUGUAUCCUUAGCAUUCAACACAGACCUUGAAGCAGCAGACAACAAAUAUUGGUUGAAUAAAUGAGUGAACGAAGUGCCAGGCACUACAGUAAGUACUUCUUCCUGCCAGGCGCUAUGGCAAGUACUUUACAUAUAUCACCUCGUUUUUAUUCUUACCACAACCCUAUGCAUAGGUACUACUAUCAGAUGAGGAAAUGGAAGCUUACAGAGACAGACCAAUAUGCCCAAAAUCUCACAGAAAAAUGAAUGUAGCUAUCACGACGUGAAAAGAUGUAGAGGAACCUUAACUGCAGAUUAUUAAGUUAAAGAAGCUAAUCUAAAAAGCCUUCAUACUGUAUGAUUCCAACUAUGUGACAUUCUGGAAACAGCAGAACUAUAGAGACAGUAGAAAGGUCAAUAGUUGCUGGGGGUUGUCCUCGGGAGGGAUGAAGAGGCAGAGCACAGAGGAUUUUGAGGAACGAAAAUACUCUGUAUGAUAUAUAAUAGUGGAUACGUGUCAUACAUUUGUCCAAACCCAUAGAAUGCACGAUGCCAAGAGUGAAUCCUAAUUGACACUACGGACUUGGAUGGUGAUGAUGGGUUGAUGUAGGUUCAUCAGCUGUAAAAAAUGUACCACUCUGUGUGGGGAUGUUGAUAAUGGAGAGGGCCUUUGCAUGUGUGGGGACAGGGAGUAUAUGAGAAAUUUCUAUUCUUUCUGCUCAAUUUUGCUGUGAAUCUAAAACUGCUCCAAAAAAUAAAAUAUUUUAAAAAUGAGUGUCAGAGGUAGGAUAUGAAAACAUUUGUUUGACUCUAUGUAGGGCUUAAUUAUAAUAUUAUACUGCUUCCCAGUUGACAAAUCUAAUACUUUCACCGUCCAAAACUUCCCUCACACUUACUUCCUGUUGUCUGUUUCUAUGGUUUCUCUUGAGUCCUCCUUCCAGGAUCCAUUCCAAGCCAGACAAUGGUAUGUGGGUGAGAAACUGUGGUCAUGGAGGAGACUGGACAGACCGGAAAGCUUUUCUUUUCUAACACAUGUUUCUGAGGAGCCCUCAGGAAGCCUGUGAACCAGGAAAACCACGGUGAUGGUCAAUGCUCUGACAGCUCCCCUGCCCCUUUCUCCAUGCUCUUCUCCUGCCGUGCCUUCCCCAAGGCUGUGGGUUGCUCCCCACUGUGCUGCUCCCCUUGGGCCUUCUCUCCCUGCCCACAUAUGCAUGUGCCAGCCCUUUCCCCUCACAAAAAUGUCAACAUAGAAUGGUAAGUAGAAAAAAAAUAAGAUGCAAUAUCGUACAAAUAGUUGUUAUGGGUUGAAUUGUGUCCUCCCAAAAUUGAUAUGUUGGAGUCCUAACCCCCGUUACCUCGGAAGGUGACCUUAUUUGGAAAUAAGGUUGUUGUAGGUAUAAUCAAUCAAGUUAAGAUGAGGUCAUAAUGAAGUAGGAGGGAACUUAAUUCAAAAUGACUAUUAUCCUUAUUAAAAGAAUGCCAUGUGGAGAGACAGACAUGCACCAAGGAUACUGCCAUGUGGAGAGGAAGGCAGAGACUGGGGUGAUGCAGCAGAAGCUGAGAAACACCAAAGACUUCCAGAAAAACAGCAGAAGACAGGAGAGAGGCCUGGGACAUAUUCUUUCUCACAGUCCUCACUAAGAACCAAUUUGCCAACACCUUGAUCUCAGACUUCUAACCUCCAGAACCGUGAGACAGCAAAUUGCUGUUACUUAAGCCACUCAGUUGUGGUACCUUGUUAUGGAAGUGCUAGCAAGCUCAUAGAAAUAACAGAAUCCUGAUCUUGUAAAGCAAAAUAAACUCAUGUAUUACGGGUUAUCAUCUUGCAUACGCACAUACACAUAUACAUAGAUGAA